Cygnus olor (mute swan) is the source of this 1186-nucleotide long non-coding RNA. RefSeq lists it as uncharacterized. NCBI's taxonomy places the organism in Eukaryota, Metazoa, Chordata, Aves, Anseriformes, Anatidae. The record is from RefSeq and is a predicted model, not a curated record. The transcript is spliced from 3 exons.
UUCCCCCUUGGCAUCUCAGGGCACUUUGCAGCUCUGAUGAAAGCAAACCAUGCUCUGCUGCCGCCUCUGAAGGGCUGCUCCUGCUUUCCAGAUGGGAGGUAGAGGCACGGAGACAUGAAAUGACUUGGCUGGGUCACAUGGGAUCCCAGGGAGAGCCAGGAAAGGAACGCAGGUCUUCUCAGUCUUGGCAUGGGGAAGGAACUCUGUUUCUUAUAAACAAAAUAAUUCACAUACCUGACACGAAAGGAUGUAUCACGGUGAUGAAUGUAUUUGUGCAUUUAUGUGCAUGCAGAUAAUACAUAUAUAAUACUUGUGAGAUAUAUAAUACUGGAUGUGUAACACAUUCAGUCUUGGCCAGAAAGAGCUAUUGUAGUGCUGGCUGAACAAAUUUAUGCAAAUCACUAGUGAAAUUAAUAAGCUUUACAAUAUUCUUCAGGCAAAUCAAAUGCUUGUGGAGCUGUUAGUCCUGGAGCCCCAACCUGGAAAAGAUGUUAUUAUGGAAAAAUGAGUCUUAACAGAGCGUGAAGGUGUACAAAGAGAGAAUAUCUGUUGUCUAUCUCCCUGACGCCACCACCCCAGGGCUGUUCUUGUCCUAGACCACCAGGAUUAGCCUGUGAGCCAGGACCUGUCUUGCAUAGCUGGUAGUGGGCUUGGGAGGUUGUUGCUUUAGGAGGCUGUGGAGGCAGAGAGUGUCUGCAGGGCCAAGGGGAUUAGACAAACUCAUAAACAAAUGGAGCAAGCAGAUAAAUGCACAUUUUGGAGACACUGCAGAGGUAGGAAGCUAACCCAGAGCAGGCUGGAUAAGCAGUGACAGGACAAGUUUCUCCUGCAGAGGCUCUGGUGGAACGGCUGCAUCGGCAGAGCCCCCAGUGUUUGAUCACCUGCCCCUCUCGAGUGAAGUGUCCUGUUGCCAGGGGCACAUCAUGGGAUCUGCUGGCCAUGCUGAGAGUUCAGCUCAGUUCCAGCUUUUCUGCACCCACGGACAAGUCACCCUUGCUAUGAAGAGGUCCUGACUUGUGACGUCUUUGCUCUGAAAAGAUUUGUUGCAAAGCAGACACCCAACAACCUUCUGACACAGAGGAGAAAUGUUGCUGCUCUCCCCCUCGCUCCACCAUGGAUCCCCAGAAUUCAAAUCAGGAGCAAACCCCAAAAGUGAGGCUGCAGUCUUUCCUAAUAAAGAGAAUGA